ACGAACGCUGGCGGCAUGCCUAACACAUGCAAGUCGAACGAGACCUUCGGGUCUAGUGGCGCACGGGUGCGUAACGCGUGGGAACCUGCCCUUAGGUUCGGAAUAACUCCCCGAAAGGGGUGCUAAUACCGGAUAAUGUCUUCGGAUCAAAGAUUUAUCGCCUUUGGAUGGGCCCGCGUUGGAUUAGCUAGUUGGUAGGGUAAAAGCCUACCAAGGCGACGAUCCAUAGCUGGUCUGAGAGGAUGAUCAGCCACACUGGGACUGAGACACGGCCCAGACUCCUACGGGAGGCAGCAGUGGGGAAUAUUGGACAAUGGGCGAAAGCCUGAUCCAGUAAUGCCGCGUGAGUGAUGAAGGCCUUAGGGUUGUAAAGCUCUUUUACCCGGGAUGAUAAUGACAGUACCGGGAGAAUAAGCUCCGGCUAACUCCGUG
Molecule: ribosomal RNA, 432 nt
Filed under: uncultured bacterium
Lineage: Bacteria
Description: partial 16S ribosomal RNA
Rfam family: Bacterial small subunit ribosomal RNA
Source: RNAcentral